GGUGAAAACAGUUUAUUAGAAUGAUAAAGCAACACGUUGCCAGGUUGCCAGGGGUGAAAACAGUUUAUUAGAAUGAUAAAGCAACACUUUGCCAGGGGUGAAAACAGUUUAUUAGAAUGAUAAAGCAACACUUUGCCAGGGGUGAAAACAGUUUAUUAGAAUGAUAAAGCAACACUUUGCCAGGGGUGAAAACAGUUUAUUAGAAUGAUAAAGCAACACAUUGCCAGGUUGCCAGGGGUGAAAACAGUUUAUUAGAAUGAUAAAGCAACACUUUGCCAGGGGUGAAAACAGUUUAUUAGAAUGAUAAAGCAACACUUUGCCAGGGGUGAAAACAGUUUAUUAGAAUGAUAAAGCAACACAUUGCCAGGUUGCCAGGGGUGGAAACAGUUUAUCUGGUGUUCAACGGAGAGGAGGAGAUAUCUAAAGAGUGGUCAAAUAUCACAAAAAAAUAUGUAAAGUGUGAAUAUUACUGAAAAGGUUGGCCCACAUGAAAACAUCAGGAAAUGCCCCUCCAGGGCCCAACACAGAACAGAACAACAGCAUG
Molecule: long non-coding RNA, 544 nt
Organism: Coregonus clupeaformis (lake whitefish)
Lineage: Eukaryota; Metazoa; Chordata; Actinopteri; Salmoniformes; Salmonidae
Exons: 2
Source: RefSeq, a predicted model, not a curated record